Molecule: long non-coding RNA, 2011 nt
Filed under: Brassica napus (rape)
Lineage: Eukaryota; Viridiplantae; Streptophyta; Magnoliopsida; Brassicales; Brassicaceae
Description: long non-coding RNA (BNAP_LNC026479)
Source: RNAcentral
UGAACACAUCAGCUGCUGUUUCAGCGGCUAACCUUCUCGUCAAGAGCGUGGAAUCAGCAUUCCCUAAACAGAAGAAGAACUUAGCCAUUGUAGAGUUUAAGCAGGCAAAAGUAGCACUUAAGAGACGCACUAAGGGCCAUGACGAACAUAUAGGUAUGUUUUUCUACUUAUCUUUCUGUAAAUCUCCUCUUUAAUUACCCUGAGAUUAUCCCUCUUUUUCCCCCAGAUUUGCCUUCACUUCCGCAAGAUAUCCUUGUUCAUAUCUUCAGUUUCCUUGAUGUAUAUUCCUUACUCUCCUCAUCCCAAGUCUCUCGGUACUACUUUCUCCUGUAUUUUGCACAUUCUUUUUUCUUGCUUUUUUACUUAUAUGUUAUUCUUGUAGCUCAUGGAACCAAGCAACGUCUGAAGGCUCUCUGUGGCGUUCACUAUUUGAUCUUCACUUCAGUCACAAAGUCUCGAUUCAUAUUCAUCCCGGUUUUGACUGGAGAGAAGCCUUUAAGAACGAAUAUAUCUGUAAGGGUUUUAUCUUCUCUCUUUCUUUUUUUUUUUUUUAAAACGCUUUCUCUAUGUACAAUUCGUAAAGUAUGCAUUUUCUUUGCGUAACCGUGCAGUGUAUAAAUCAUCAAAGAUGUUAAGAUCUGGUCGGGGAUACUGCAGUUACUGCGACUCCGUUGUUUGGCACGACAACUUGAGAUGUCCGAAGAAACAAUGUCGGUUGAAAUCAGGCAAGAAGCCACUCGACCUCAUGUUAACUCACCAGGUAUAAGCUUCUUCCUCCUUCAAGAAAUGUUUCUCGUGGCUCUUGUAGGGCAAGCUAUCUAUAUAUGCCUUUGGUGGUUUUGAUUCUUCACAGGUUGUUAACUAUUUACUGGGGACAACGAGUUCGUCCGAUGAAAGUGAUUCGGAGGAUGAGGCUGUCCGUGGACUAUGGGCUUAUCCAACGCUACAGUAGCUUCGUAGCUUUACCAAAUUAUCAUAUCUGUGUGUAAAUUCUUUUACUCAUAUGCACAUUCGUAUUCUGAGACAAAAACAAACAUCUCUUUCUCGCUUGGGCUUGUAGGCUCACGAGGGUCUUGGGCCCAUCUGUUAAUAUGAAUUUUUUUUUGGUAAACUACAGUAUAACUUCUUUCAAGUAAAACUCCAUGAAUUAAUCAUUUUUUUCUGAAAGAAAUCAAUUAAUCAUAACAAAUAACAUGAAUUAGACUUUCAAAGACGCGCCACAUUACAAAAAGUAGAUCAAUUACCAAAAACCGAGAUGACUAACCAUCCAAAAAACGAUAGAAACGAACGAAACAGAAAAAAGUACCAAAAAAGUAAUUUAAGAAUUUGAGAUGGGUAUAGAAACGCAGAUACAAAGGAAAAAAAAUAAAAAAGAAUUCAUUCAUCCCCUUGGAUUAUUCCAAUCAAAUGGAUAUGUUUUAAACUUAAAACUAGAUGUGAUCCACGCUUUCGAAGCGUAGAAUCAGCCAAGCAUGAAGCAGAGGAAUAAGCCUUAGUUUGGGUUUUUAGGGAGUUGUUCUUCGAAUGGUUUUAUUUCAAUACCAGUAAUAGAUUACAGGCGUCACUGAUUCUUUGCAUAUGCGUUGUCAUUUAGCAUUUGCUUUGUCAAUUUGCUUGUUAAUAAAGCUAGAAUGUUCUGUUUCUUUGAAUCUGACAAUGAGACAGACUACUCAUCAAGUGCACUUUAUUCUUAUAAUUUAUCUCUCGGUUUCAUGAAAUCUAUGUUUCAUCUCCUCUAUCUAACAGUUUCAGCUUAUAUAUUUAUAUUUAUUUUUCUCAUUUAGCAUGAACACAUCAGCUGCUGUUUCAGCGGCUAACCUUCUCGUCAAGAGCGUGGAAUCAGCAUUCCCUAAACAGAAGAAGAACUUAGCCAUUGUAGAGUUUAAGCAGGCAAAAGUAGCACUUAAGAGACGCACUAAGGGCCAUGACGAACAUAUAGGUAUGUUUUUCUACUUAUCUUUCUGUAAAUCUCCUCUUUAAUUACCCUGAGAUUAUCCCUCUUUUUCCCCCA